GGGGAAUAUUGCGCAAUGGGCGAAAGCCUGACGCAGCGACGCCGCGUGAGGGAUGAAGGUUUUCGGAUCGUAAACCUCUGUCAGAAGGGAAGAAACUACGUUGUGCUAAUCAGCAGCGUACUGACGGUACCUUCAAAGGAAGCACCGGCUAACUCCGUGCCAGCAGCCGCGGUAAUACGGAGGGUGCAAGCGUUAAUCGGAAUUACUGGGCGUAAAGCGCACGUAGGCUGUAGUGUAAGUCAGGGGUGAAAUCCCACGGCUCAACCAUGGAGCUGCCUUUGAUACUGCACAACUUGAAUCCGGGAGAGGGUGGCGGAAUUCCAGGUGUAGGAGUGAAAUCCGUAGAUAUCUGGAGGAACAUCAGUGGCGAAGGCGGCCACCUGGACCGGUAUUGACGCUGAGGGGCGAAAGCGUGGGGAGCAAAC
This 425-nucleotide ribosomal RNA is filed under the name uncultured bacterium. Its description in RNAcentral is "bacterial SSU rRNA". It matches the Rfam family "Bacterial small subunit ribosomal RNA", at positions 356 to 773 of the family's 1533-position model. The record is from RNAcentral.